AGUGAACGCUGGCGGCAGGCCUAACACAUGCAAGUCGAACGGCAGCAUAGUCUAACUUUGUAGUUUCGUGUCGCGUGUCGCACGCGGGUGUGGUACAUCUGGGCAUCUCCUUUAUCGUGGGGGAUCUAGUCGGGAAACUUACGAAUAUCGCGUACAAGAUCUACGGGAGAGUGCGGGGGCUCAUCGCCUCUUGCGAGAUUAACUGCCGCGAUGUCGGAUUAGCUAGUUGGAGGGGUAAAGGCCCACCAAGGCGACGAUCCGUAGCUGGUCUGAGAGGAUGAUCAGCCACACUGGAACUGAGACACGGUCCAGACUCCUACGGGAGGCAGCAGUGGGGAAUUUUGGACAAUGGGCGCAAGCCUGAUCCAGCCAUGCCGCGUGUGUGAAGAAGGCCUUCGGGUUGUAAAGCCCUUUUGUUGGGAAAGAAAAGCAGCAGGUUAAUACCCCGCUGUUCUGACGGUACCCAAAGAAUAAGCACCGGCUAACUACGUG
This 492-nucleotide ribosomal RNA is filed under the name uncultured bacterium. Its description in RNAcentral is "partial 16S ribosomal RNA". It matches the Rfam family "Bacterial small subunit ribosomal RNA", at positions 29 to 507 of the family's 1533-position model. The record is from RNAcentral.